Molecule: long non-coding RNA, 768 nt
Filed under: Capsella grandiflora
Lineage: Eukaryota; Viridiplantae; Streptophyta; Magnoliopsida; Brassicales; Brassicaceae
Description: long non-coding RNA (CGRA_LNC001670)
Source: RNAcentral
ACGGGUCCUAAUGCUAGUUUCUACCCUAUCCCCUUAUACUGGGGAUGCACGGUUCCAAUAUGUCCUACCUCAGAGACUUCACCAUGUUUAGGAAAACGGUCAAGGGAUCAUCAAACUGAGGGAGGAAUCAAUAAUACUACAACAACAACUACUACAAGAGCAAGAUUGGUUACAGAAUCACUUAGAACGAAUAGCGAAGCUACCAAGAGCUCGGUGUGGUCUAAGUUACCAACAAAACCCGAGAAGAAAACACAUGGAUUCAGUUUGUUCAAUGGAUUUGACACAAAGGGUAACAGCAACACAAGAAACCUGGUCCCUGAAACUUCUCACAGUCUACAAGCAAACCCUGCAGCGAUGUCUAGAGCUAUGAACUUCAGGGAGAGCAUGCAACAUUAAUCAGAACAAUGAUAUAGCCAUACACUCAUGAACGUAACUGAGAAAGUUGAGUUUAGCUAAUUGUUACCUUGUGGAAGAAGGAAUCACUGUAUAGAUAUUUUGUUGUUUCGAACUAAGAGUAGAUAUAUAGUAUUUUACUGUUGUACACUAAGAGAAAUACUUUUUUUGGAGUUGUAGAUAUUUCUCUCCAUUGUGGUAAUGAAGUUGCAACAUAUAUAAACCUUUUAGGUUUAAUAUCUACGUGAUCUAUCUGAAACUUACAAUUACAUUUUUGCCCUGAUCCCAAGAGAUAAAUAAAUAUUCUCAAUUCCAAUUAUCAUCUCUGGUAAAUGCAUGAAUGUCAGAAGAGCAUGAUGUUUCAGAUUAUUUAGC